UCCUACGGGGGGCAGCAGUGGGGAAUAUUGCGCAAUGGGCGAAAGCCUGACGCAGCGACGCCGCGUGGGUGAAGAAGCGCCUCGGCGCGUAAAGCCCUGUCAGCAGGGAAGAAAAUGACGGUACCUGAAGAAGAAGCCCCGGCUAACUACGUGCCAGCAGCCGCGGUAAUACGUAGGGGGCAAGCGUUAUCCGGAUUUACUGGGUGUAAAGGGGGCGCAGACGGCGAUGCAAGCCAGGAGUGAAAGCCCGGGGCCCAACCCCGGGACUGCUCUUGGAACUGCGUGGCUAGAGUGCAGGCGGGGCG
This 305-nucleotide ribosomal RNA is filed under the name uncultured bacterium. RNAcentral's name for it is "bacterial SSU rRNA". It matches the Rfam family "Bacterial small subunit ribosomal RNA", at positions 337 to 659 of the family's 1533-position model. The record is from RNAcentral.